AGUGGAAUAACUAGGUAAAAUGGUGGUUCCAUUCCAAGUUUUCUGAGGAAUCUCCAUACUACUUUCCAGAGUUGCUGUUCCAAUUUACAGUCCCACCAGAAAU
Molecule: microRNA precursor, 103 nt
Filed under: Marmota monax (woodchuck)
Lineage: Eukaryota; Metazoa; Chordata; Mammalia; Rodentia; Sciuridae
Source: RNAcentral